This is a non-coding RNA of Camelina sativa (false flax), 2449 nucleotides long. Lineage: Eukaryota; Viridiplantae; Streptophyta; Magnoliopsida; Brassicales; Brassicaceae. The record is from RefSeq and is a predicted model, not a curated record.
UUGAGUCAGAAGAGGAAAAAAAGAAGGUUUUUUACUUAGUUUGGAUCUUGCUUUUGUUAUGAAUAUAUAAUGCUUUAGAAAAUUGGGGGGUGGGGGGGAAACAAUGAACUUCUUUCUGAGUAAACCAAAGGUCAAAAAACACGAAAACAUGGAUUAGAUCUAGGUUUUGAAUGAAGGCUUCCGGCGAGAUUGGGAGACGGAGAGAGGGUCUCUUGCGUUUUCCGUUGGGUGAGAGUAUUCAGGGUCAGAUCGGAAGUCUAUCCCUGAAUUUUACAGGGUUCCUUUAUUUGGUAAUCGAGCCCGAUUUGAAGAAAAGGAUCCCGGUGCAUUCGGAUCUUAAUAAUUGGUUUGGGCUUGAUCUGAGGAAUCAUAUUUGGGUUAAUGGAUGGAUUUGUAUCAAGUUUGUGGGAAUGAUUGUGGAAUCUGUUUGGGAUCUGCUGGUAUUUAUUAGGGUGAUUUCGAUCGUGGUGUGUGUUAAGUUUAUGAUCCGAUGUUGUCCUAGUUAUGGAAGGUGCUGGCCUCAUAUUUCGUGGUUCAUGGGUAUUGGGUUUGAUACUGUUUUGAUUUUAGUGUAUAGUUUUGGAAUCCUGUUGAUUGGCAUAUCCCCUAUGUCACGUUGUAGUAUCACGAUGGGUAUCAGGGUAUUUAGUUGGCGUUUGGAGUUCCGUGGUUUCAUCUGUGUUUCAUUUCUUCAUAUUUUGUGUUGUUCCGUCUGGUGUGGUGGGUGGUGUGUUUUAGUGGAUCGUGUUUGGUUGCUGAGUGUUGUGUUUUGGUUUAUGGCUCAAUCAUCGUUUCUCAAGGGGAAGGCUCCUCUGGUGCGUACAGAAACUGUGAAAAUAUCCAACUCAGUUUUGGCUCAGCGGAUUCAGAAGUUUUCACUAACUCUUAUAGGGAGGUUGAUGAAUCCUGCGAUUCAAAGGAUGAAGUCCUUAAUUUCCACUUUGCCUAAGAUUUGGAAGCUUAAAGACAAGGUGGUGGGAGCUGAUCUCGGUCAAGGGACAUUUCAGUUCAAUUUCGCUAAUGAGAGUGAUUUGCAAGGGGUCUUACAAAAUGGUCCAUACCAUUUUGAUGGUUGGAUGAUCUCUUUGGUUAAGUGGGAACCAGUCAUUUCUUCAACCUAUCCUUCUGCCAUCAAUUUUUGGGUGAAAGUUGCUGGUAUCCCUAUGCAUCUUUGGGAGGUUACUACUUUAGAGGCUAUUGGAAAAAAACUUGGCAUCAUUCGAGAGAUUGAUGAGGAGACAGGUAGUGUUUUUGUGACUGUUAAUGGCUUCAACCCUCUUCUCUUCAAGUUGGUUGUGCCAUUUGAAAGUGGCGAUGAGGUGAUAGUUACUCUAGAGUAUGAGAAACUUAACGGUGUUUGUGAUAACUGCUAUCGGCUCACUCAUGAGGAGAGAGAUUGCCCAUUUCUCAACAAGGCUGUCGAGAGCAAGGGGGUUGAGUUUCAAGCUGAGAAACGAGGAGCUCAGUGACAUCAAGGUAUGGUGCAACAAGGAGUGUUUCACAAUGAUGGUGGUUGGGAGAAGCCAAGGAAAUAUGUUAAGAGAGCUUUAGAUUUUCAAGCUCAUGUUCCUUCUGUUGGGGUGGAGAAUUCCAGUUCCUAUCAUCAGAAUCGACACCAUGGCUCUGUCUGGGAUCAAAAACGUUCACAUGGUGCUGGUGCGAUGGUUUUGGGUGGCAAGCGUGGGGUUCAGGUUGGUUCUGGGGAGCAGUUGGGGCAGGCUCUUUCUUUUCCACUUAACCGAAAGGGGUCAGGAUCAGCUUGGCCUAAGCCUUUAUAUAAAGCUAAAUCUGGUCAGAAGGAUCAGCGGAUGCAGGAGGUUCUUGGUGAGGAUUCGGCUGCUAUUGGUUUAGUUGAUUCUCAACGUGAUACUGUGAUGGAGAGUUCUUCUCAGUAUGGGGCUGGUGAGGAGUUGGUAGGAUCGGACUUUAACGAAGCCACUGAUGAUCUUUUAGAGGAGGGUGAAUCUCCAAAUGGUAAUUACCAAGAGGAGGGUGAGGUUGCGAUUGGACAGGGUAACAACCUUGAAGAGGGUUUAGGAUCGGGUUCUACUGAUCCAACCGAGGAUGAUCUGAAAGGUGAUGGUCAUAAAAAGAGAGGGAAAGGGAUACAACGGUCUAAGGCUACGGAUGGCAAACCUGCUGGUGGUGGUCGACCAGUGAAGAAGGGGAUGGUGGCUCUCCCGAAACCACCGGCUCAUACGUGAAAAUUUUAAGUUGGAACUGUCAGGGUAUUGGGGCAGACCUGACAAAGAGCUAUUUGGGAGACUUGUGGAAGAAGUAUCAUCCAGAUAAUUUAUUUUUAUCAGAAACAAAAAAAAUAUUAUUCUUAUUUACAAAAGUUUCAGUCUAAGUUUGGAUAUGAUAAGUUGUACUCUGUUGACCCUUGCGGUUCCAAUAGUGGUUUGGCUGUUUUUUAUAUGGAUGCAAUAAAACUUUCAAUUUUAUUUGA